RNAcentral lists this ribosomal RNA (270 nucleotides) under uncultured archaeon. RNAcentral describes it as "partial 16S ribosomal RNA". It matches the Rfam family "Archaeal small subunit ribosomal RNA", at positions 477 to 747 of the family's 1478-position model. The record is from RNAcentral.
CUGCAGCUCGAGCGGUGAUCAUUAUUAUUGGGCCUAAAACGUCCGUAGCCGGUUUAGUAAAUGCCUGGGUAAAUCGUGUAGCUUAACUAUACGACUUCCGGGUAGACUGCUAAACUUGAGACCGGGAGAGGCUAGAGGUACUCCUGGGGUAGAGGUGAAAUUCUGUAAUCCUAGGGGGACCACCAGUGGCGAAGGCGUCUAGCUAGAACGGGUCUGACGGUGAGGGACGAAGCCCUGGGGCACAAACCGGAUUAGAUACCCGAGUAGUCC